UACGGAGGGUGCAAGCGUUGUCCGGAAUCAUUGGGCGUAAAGAGUUCGUAGGUGGCAUAUUAAGUCUGGUGUUAAAGGCAGAAGCUCAACUUCUGUAGGGCACUGGAUACUGGUAAGCUUGAAUGUGGUAGAGGUAAAGGGAAUUCCUGGUGUAGCGGUGAAAUGCGUAGAUAUCAGGAGGAACAUCGGUGGCGAAAGCGCUUUACUGGGCCAUGAUUGACACUGAGGAACGAAAGCCGGGGUAGCAAAUGGG
RNAcentral lists this ribosomal RNA (253 nucleotides) under uncultured bacterium. RNAcentral's name for it is "partial 16S ribosomal RNA". It matches the Rfam family "Bacterial small subunit ribosomal RNA", at positions 524 to 776 of the family's 1533-position model. The record is from RNAcentral.